GAUGUUGUUGUAGUCGUCCUUAUCCAUGAUGGUGACAUUUGCUGGAAAAUUAUAAUCCUGACCACAUGGCCAAACAUUGGAGUUAUUUCUUCCAAACAUUCUUUCGUUGCAACUGUUUAAUUUUUCUUCUUACCUAAGUGCAAGUGCCCGUGUUAUCAAACAAUAUGCACAAAAUCGUUCAAAGGGUGCGAUUCUUGAAUCGCGCGCCAAUUCUAACACACUCGCAACUUCUUUCCAACUUUUCAAACCAUGCUACCAUUGAUACAAAUCCAACGUUUUCGUCUUAUGCUUCCAUCGAUAGAGCUCGCACAGUUGAAUCUCUUGAUUUUCGGGAAAUUACAAGCACGAGAGAACUUAGGAAUGCGUUUGACAAAUACAAUAGGAACGUUUUGUCUCGAUGCCUGAACUGGACUUCGGGGGCAAUUGAUAAUCAUCACGCAGCCAGCUAUGUGGUAAACCGUCAUUUUACAGCCGAUCACAAUGAUAAAUGCACAAAGGAGUUCUCAAGUAAGCAUCUUAAAAAUAUUCCGAACUUUGUAAGGAUAGUGGAGGUUGGUGCAAGGGAUGGAUUGCAAAAUGAGAAGGUUAUUGUUCCCACUGAUGUGAAAAUUGAAUUGAUAAAACUGCUAGUUUCUUCUGGGUUGUCUGUUGUUGAGGCGACAAGUUUUGUCUCACCAAAAUGGGUGCCACAGUUGGCAGAUGCAAAGGAUGUAUUGAAAGCAAUUCAAGACGUUGAAGGUGCUAGCUUUCCUGUCUUAACUCCAAAUCUCAAAGGUUUUGAGGCAGCUGUUGCUGCUGGAGCUAAGGAAGUGGCUGUUUUUCCUGCUGCUUCUGAAUCAUUCUCUAAAGCAAAUCUCAACUGUGGCAUUGAGGAUAACCUUGCUCGUUGCCGUGAUAUUGCUUCAGCUUCUAGAAGCCUCAGGAUCCCAGUUCGUGGAUACAUAUCAUGUGUUGUGGGAUGUCCUCUGGAAGGAAAAAUUGCUCCAGCAAAAGUAGCAUACGUUGCAAAAUCACUUUAUGAGAUGGGGAUCUCGGAGAUUUCAUUAGGGGAUACAAUUGGUGUUGGCACACCUGGUAACGUCAUUCCUAUGCUUGAAGCUGUUCUUGAUGUCGUUCCAAUUGAUAAGCUUGCUGUCCAUUUUCACGAUACUUAUGGUCAGGCACUUUCAAAUAUUCUAAUUUCACUACAGAUGGGGAUCAGCACAGUGGAUUCAUCUGUCUCUGGUCUUGGAGGUUGUCCAUAUGCCAAGGGUGCAACUGGGAAUGUGGCCACUGAAGAUGUUGUUUAUAUGCUGAAUGGACUUGGAGUUAAAACUAAUGUGGACCUUGGAAAACUUAUGCUUGCUGGGGAUUUCAUCUGCAAGCAUUUAGGACGUGCAUCUGGUUCAAAAGUCGCAACUGCAUUGAAUAAAGUUACAAAUAGUGCCUCUAAACUGUGAGUUACUAAAGCUAGAUCAUGUAUCUGCAUGAGAGGUAGAUUGUUUACCCACCGACUCGUAACUUCCAUACAGUAAAUGUCGGAGGCAGGAGAUUGAACCGAAGAGAAAUGCACAUUCGAGUCAAUAAAAUUUACAUAGACUUUAACUUAACCAUUUUUAACUUAAAUAUUAGAUACCAUUCACUUCAUUAUACUGUCUUGAUAUGUCACAAAUUAAGAACCUGUACCUAAUUUCUCCUUCUCCCCUUUCCCCUUAUUUUAUUAAAUAAAAAGCUGUAUUAAUGAACAA
RNA transcript from Lathyrus oleraceus (garden pea), 1727 nucleotides. RefSeq lists it as uncharacterized. The record is from RefSeq and is a predicted model, not a curated record. NCBI's taxonomy places the organism in Eukaryota, Viridiplantae, Streptophyta, Magnoliopsida, Fabales, Fabaceae. The transcript has 9 exons.